This is a small nucleolar RNA of Ornithorhynchus anatinus (platypus), 138 nucleotides long. NCBI's taxonomy places the organism in Eukaryota, Metazoa, Chordata, Mammalia, Monotremata, Ornithorhynchidae. The record is from RefSeq and is a predicted model, not a curated record.
CCCCUCUCAGGAUCGCAACUGGAGAGUUUCCAGUACUCUACCGAUCUCGGCUAUGGGAGGGUGAGUCAAACAGAGGGAUACCCAUUCCAUUCCUAGCUUGGCUAGUGGCUAGCGAGGGGAAAGCAAUCUGCUACACGU